Anguilla anguilla (European eel) is the source of this 1177-nucleotide long non-coding RNA. RefSeq lists it as uncharacterized. NCBI's taxonomy places the organism in Eukaryota, Metazoa, Chordata, Actinopteri, Anguilliformes, Anguillidae. The transcript has 3 exons. The record is from RefSeq and is a predicted model, not a curated record.
GCUACUCUUGGACAUCCUGUAGACUUUAUUUAACGUUAUUUUGCCGUCUGGCUCUACUCUCCGGCUUUGCGGCCCUGUGGCACCCCGGCUUCACUCUGACUCCGCACCUUGCGACUGCUGCCAAAGGACUUUUGGACUUCUUCGGAAGCGGAAUCGGACGUGCCUUCGUUGAUCCCACUCCUUUAGAGCUGUUCUGCAUCAUUUGCUAUUGACUGGGCUCCUGUCGGUUUUUGGCCGCACUGGCUGCAACUCCUAGGCUCUUGGCGAGAGGGUUCGUGCUCGGAAGUCGCCUGCUUUGCUACCAGCGUUUCUAAUCCACAAAGAAAAGUGGCCAUGACCAGAACGCCUCCUGUGAGACAGCAGCCACUCUAUCAGUGUUCCUGCAGCCUUCCUUACCAGACAUCUGGACACGCACGUGACCUCGUCAGGCCACAGGGGCCUGCUUAUCUGGAUGAAGUCUUUCAGCUGUUCAUCGGUAGUUUUACUGGAAAUCAUCACUCAAGCGUGUGGAAUGAAAACCUGGUCCCCAAUGCUGAAUUCCCCCUCGCUCCCCUUCACGCAUAAUACGCCCCCACGCUGAGCACUGGCAGAUGCAGGGCUCCGGGCUGCACACUGCAUGUCACCAUUGUGGACUGUGGGAAAGAGGGGCUCCUUUCAACCUGCCUAUUCAGGCUGUCCGUCAGGCAGCCGCCUCAGAGGUGAAGCCCUGCACUUCCUGCUUUCACGCUGCCUGUGAUCCUCCCCUCCCUGGCCCAAAACUCCCGCUCAGUGCAAAGGGGAAGGGAAAGAAUUAUGUGGCCGGGCAAAACAGAUAAAAUGAAAUAAUCUGGGACGGCUGGGUGGCUCAUCCGGUUAAGGCACCAUUCUAGUGGAUGGAUGGGCCCCACAGUCCAGCGUCAGAUCCAGACAUGUCAGUGCCAACAAUGGCCGGCAGCCAUGAUGUACAAAUGGCUCUAGAGUUGUCCAGGGAUGGGAGAGUUUCAGUGAGUCAGGAUUACAGUGUCUCAUUGAUCACUGCGAGCCCAGCUUGCGUACUAUGAUGUGAUAUGAUGACUAUGAUGAAGGGGUGGCUGACAUCACGUGAAAAGGCAAAAAAAUGUGAACCAAUUGAAAGGUAACAAUAAUACAUAUUGCAUGUGUAAAUGCUUUUAAUAAAAUAAGAUUUUCCUGAAAAAUA